Molecule: non-coding RNA, 1717 nt
Organism: Camelina sativa (false flax)
Lineage: Eukaryota; Viridiplantae; Streptophyta; Magnoliopsida; Brassicales; Brassicaceae
Source: RefSeq, a predicted model, not a curated record
GAGAGAAAGACUCUUCUCAUCUUCUUCACAACCUGAAAGAGAGAGAGAUUUACGAAAAAAAAGUUAGAGAGAGAGAGAGAGAGGGUUUGUUCUGAUGUCUACGGAGAGCAAACAAGCCCUAACUUGGCCCGUUCGGUUCAGAGAGCCACGCCGAUUCGAUUAUCUCAUCGCUCCCAGAUGCCUCUCCGAUCGAGUCCUCCUGGAUAAAAUCUCUCGCCUCCGCUUCUGGUGAUGGAUCCGUUCAGAAUCGUCUCUCGUCGACUCCUACUCUCGAACUCGCCUCUUCUCUUCUCCUCGAUUCCACUAAAUUCCGGAAACGAGCUUCUGUCACAAUGACUAGGGUUUAGGGUCAACAUACAAAUCAGAGGACGAUUCAUUCAAUGGCAAUCUGAUGAUUCUAUUGAACGAUGAUAGUUUUUCACAGUCCCCCCGACUCAGCACGACGACCUUCCUUGUCUUCUUCGUUCGCUUCAAGUUCCGGUCCACAGACAACAGAAUGGUUCACUUCCUUCACAGAAUUGGGGAUGACGCAGCAACAACAACCAUGGAAUGGAAACUCAAUAACCUUUGUCUUAAUCUCCUGUAAAUGUUGAAUAUGGUGCAGCUUCUGAAAAGUUUAUCAUUAAACCGUGGACAACCCCACUUAUGUCCUGCACCGUGGAUUAUCCCAAAACCAGUUGGAGAUGAAACUUUCUGUCUCCAAUCUCCACACACAUAAUGGUUCACUUUCUCCAUAGAAUCCGGGAUGAUGCACUAUAUGACGCUUCAACAACAACGUUUGUAUGAAUUUAGUAUCCUUUUUCUUGGAUCUCUGUCUCUGUGUGUCGAAGGUAGAUGGAAUUUGUGGUGGUGGUGGUUUACUCGCUGCUGGGUUAUUUGAGGUUUCCUUCAACAUUGGCGAAUCUAUAGAGAAUGGAGAUAUUGAUUCAGGAUACCAACGCAAAGGCGACAACAAAUAUAAUUUCAGACUUCUCUAUUUGAUAGCUAAAAGGCGCAUUGGGUCAAGCUGCCACAAUGUUGCAGCAGCUUCCUCCCUUUAUCAAGGAUACUUUAGCCGGUGGUCGUAGAAAUCCCCUGAGUGGAUCCUUUGAAAGAUUCUCUAUAACAGAUUUCAUACAUGUCUUACUAGGAGAGCCUCCUAGUAUACAAAGGUUUAUUUAUCCUUGUAUACAACCAUUGGUUCAAUGGCUGCUGAUCUGCUUGUCAAAAGCGAUAGUAACGUGUGUGAUUCACUGUCCAUCUCAAGUCUCAAGGUUGCUCUAGCCUACAACGAGGCGGUAUCAAGUGGAAGAUUGACCUCUACAGGUGGCUUUGUACAAUCGAUCUUCUUAGCAUCACCGAGAAAGCGAUGUGAAGAGAUAUUGAAUUGCUCAACGGAGUUGAAGAAUAAUUUGAGGAACUAUUUGACGACAGAAGCAUGGCCUGAUGAUGAGUAUAAUUCAAAGUUGCAGAAAGAUAUACUCAUUCUCUCAGGGUAUUUAAAAUGGUUCAGUGUACCAUCUCCAUCGAUCAUCAAAGCAGCAGUGGAAAAAAUCAAAUCCAAGUCCAAAAACUCAACUUCGGCAAUACCUUUGUUGCGGUUGUCGUUACCGAGUUCGCAUAUCAGUGAAAUUGAUAGGCUCUAUUCUUUUAACUCAAAUGAAACAACUGUAUCGUGAAAACAUGAUUUUCUUCGUUUGAGCUGUUAUAAUGAGUAAGAUUAAAUUUUUGAAGCAAA